GCUGGGUGCAGUGGUGCACGCCUAUAAUCCCAGUGGCUGGGAGGCUGAGGCAGGAGGAUCGUGAGUUCAAAGCCAGCCUCAGCAAUUUAAUGAGGCCCUAAGCAUCUCAGUAAGACUCUGUCUCUA
RNAcentral lists this small RNA (126 nucleotides) under Marmota monax (woodchuck). The record is from RNAcentral. Lineage: Eukaryota; Metazoa; Chordata; Mammalia; Rodentia; Sciuridae.